Molecule: ribosomal RNA, 1001 nt
Filed under: uncultured bacterium
Lineage: Bacteria
Description: bacterial SSU rRNA
Rfam family: Bacterial small subunit ribosomal RNA
Source: RNAcentral
CGUGCUUGCCUUUUGAUGACGACCGGCGCACGGGUGCGUAACGCGUAUGCAAUCUGCCUCAUACUGGAGAAUAGCCCAGAGAAAUUUGGAUUAAUGCUCCAUAGUAUUAUUGAAAGGCAUCUUUUAAUAAUUAAAGGUUACGGUAUGAGAUGAGCAUGCGUCCUAUUAGCUAGUUGGUGUGGUAACGGCACACCAAGGCAACGAUAGGUAGGGGCCCUGAGAGGGGGAUCCCCCACACUGGUACUGAGACACGGACCAGACUCCUACGGGAGGCAGCAGUGAGGAAUAUUGGACAAUGGAGGCAACUCUGAUCCAGCCAUGCCGCGUGCAGGAAGACUGCCCUAUGGGUUGUAAACUGCUUUUAUAUGGGAAGAAACAGUCCUACGUGUAGGACCUUGACGGUACCAUAAGAAUAAGCAUCGGCUAACUCCGUGCCAGCAGCCGCGGUAAUACGGAGGAUGCAAGCGUUAUCCGGAAUCAUUGGGUUUAAAGGGUCCGUAGGCGGAUUAAUAAGUCAGAGGUGAAAUCCUGCAGCUCAACUGUAGAACUGCCUUUGAUACUGUUAGUCUUGAGUUAUUGUGAAGUGGUUAGAAUAUGUAGUGUAGCGGUGAAAUGCAUAGAUAUUACAUAGAAUACCAAUUGCGAAGGCAGAUCACUAACAAUAUACUGACGCUGAUGGACGAAAGCGUGGGGAGCGAACAGGAUUAGAUACCCUGGUAGUCCACGCCGUAAACGAUGGUCACUAGCUGUUCGGAUUUAUCUGAGUGGCUAAGCGAAAGUGAUAAGUGACCCACCUGGGGAGUACGUUCGCAAGAAUGAAACUCAAAGGAAUUGACGGGGGCCCGCACAAGCGGUGGAGCAUGUGGUUUAAUUCGAUGAUACGCGAGGAACCUUACCAGGGCUUGAAUGUAGUGGGACAGGUCUAGAGAUAGACCCUUCUUCGGACUCAUUACAAGUGCUGCAUGGUUGUCGUCAGCUCGUGCCGUGAGUGUCAGUUAAGU